GAUUCCCUUAGUAACGGCGAGCGAACAGGGAACAGCCCAGCGCCAAGUCCUGACACUCGACGUGUUCAGGAGAUGCGGCGUUAGUGUACUGGCGCAUCGCACGCUGUCUCGUGCUUCAAGUUCCUUUGACAGGGACUCCCAGAGUGGGUGCUAGGCCCAUAGAGGCUGCGAGACUGGCGUGUGCAGGCCAAUGCAUUUUAGAGUCAGGUUGCUUGAGAGUGCAGCCUAAAGCAGGUGGUAAACUCCAUCUAAGGCUAAAUAUUACAGCGAGACCGAUAGCAAACAAGUACCGUGAGGGAAAGUUGCAAAGAACUUUGAAGAGAGAGUUCAAAAGGACGUGAAACCACUGGCAGGUAAACGGGUGGAACCACGAAGUAUGCCCUGAUGGCAAUUCAACUAUAACAGGUGACUGGCUGUGCAGAAUCUGGGUUUUUUCGGAAGCUGGUUCUGUGCCGUCGGCAGCCAUCUGUAAUAGUGCAUUUUGUUCCGUCAGGUGCUUAAGCCACGUCCGACUAGGUGGUUGGGACGGCCGUAGCGGGUGAUCUCAAGGAAGGUGGCCGCCAGUGUGCCUUGUGCGCGCUUAGGUGGUGUUAUAGCCUUGAAUCCGUGCCGUCACCUAACGUGCUGGUCGGUGCAAGUUUUCCAAUUCUGGAAUCAAUGCGAGUAAUGAUCAUGUGUACUUUUGGUGCCAAGGCAUUGGCGUCAGGUUGCGCUUUUCGUUCCUUCGGGUUCAGAAAGACAGUUUGGCGGUUGGUGUCUCGGUGCUGAUCGUAUGAUUGUGAUUGUGCAAACGGUGGUGCGAGUAGGUCGGUCUCCACCCGACCCGUCUUGAAACACGGACCAAGGAGCCUAACAUAUACGCGAGUCGCUCGGUCUUGAAUAGGCCCGGGAGGCGAAAUGAAAGUAAAGCUAUGAGGCUCUCACGAGUCGCAGUAGCGGCCCGCCGGCUUCAUCUAUUAGUGAUAUGGCGGAGCUGGAGCGUAUACGUUGGUACCCGAAAGAUGGUGAACUAUGCCUGGGCAGGACGAAGCCAGAGGAAACUCUGGUGGAGGUCUGUAGCGAUUCUGACGUGCAAAUCGAUCGUCAGACCUGGGUAUAGGGGCGAAAGACUAAUCGAACCAUCUAGUAGCUGGUUCCCUCCGAAGUUUCCCUCAGGAUAGCAGGCGCUUGUUUAAUCAGUCUCAUCCGGUAAAGCUAAUGAUUAGAGGUCUUGGGACCGAAACGGUCUCAACCUAUUCUCAAACUUUAAAUGGGUGAGAUGCUUGACUUGCUUAAUUGAAGCCAAGCAAUUGGAUGUAAGUGCCUAGUGGGCCAGCUUUGGUAAGCAGAACUGGCGCUGUGGGAUGAACCAAACGUCGAGUUAAGGCAUCUAAUGCAUACGCUCAUCAGAUCCCAGAAAAGGUGUUGGUUGCUAUAGACAGCAGGACGGUGGCCAUGGAAGUCGGAAUCC
Molecule: ribosomal RNA, 1450 nt
Filed under: Eburneopus eclecticus
Lineage: Eukaryota; Metazoa; Arthropoda; Arachnida; Sarcoptiformes; Glycyphagidae
Description: eukaryotic LSU rRNA
Rfam family: Eukaryotic large subunit ribosomal RNA
Source: RNAcentral